Molecule: small nuclear RNA, 208 nt
Filed under: Catagonus wagneri (Chacoan peccary)
Lineage: Eukaryota; Metazoa; Chordata; Mammalia; Artiodactyla; Tayassuidae
Description: U2 spliceosomal RNA (ENSCWAG00000019613.1)
Rfam family: U2 spliceosomal RNA
About the family: U2 is a small nuclear RNA (snRNA) component of the spliceosome (involved in pre-mRNA splicing). Complementary binding between U2 snRNA (in an area lying towards the 5' end but 3' to hairpin I) and the branchpoint sequence (BPS) of the intron results the bulging out of an unpaired adenosine, on the BPS, which initiates a nucleophilic attack at the intronic 5' splice site, thus starting the first of two transesterification reactions that mediate splicing.
Source: Rfam by way of RNAcentral
AUCGCUUCUUGGCCUUUUGGCUAAGAUCAAGUGUAGAAUAUCUCUGCCUACCACCUAUGACGUUUCUGACUUUAUUUUGUGCCAUUUUCUCUUUCAUUCACUCUAUGUUGGCAUCUUUGCUAAUCCGUAAACACUCUUGGCAUGCUCCAGCCUUAGGGCUUUGUGCUAGCUGCAUCUGUGACCUAUGCCACAGCUUGCAGCAACUCCA